ACAAUGGAGAGUUUGAUCCUGGCUCAGGAUGAACGCUGGCGGUCUGCUUAACACAUGCAAGUCGAACGGAAUCUUUCGGGAUUUAGUGGCGGACGGGUGAGUAACGCGUGAGGAUCUGCCUUCAGGUUCGGGACAACAGUUGGAAACGACUGCUAAUACCGGAUGUGCCGAGAGGUGAAAGCUUUAAGUGCCUGGAGAUGAGCUCGCGUCUGAUUAGCUAGUAGGAGUGGUAACGGCACCCCUAGGCGACGAUCAGUAGCUGGUCUGAGAGGAUGAUCAGCCACACUGGGACUGAGACACGGCCCAGACUCCUACGGGAGGCAGCAGUGGGGAAUUUUCCGCAAUGGGCGCAAGCCUGACGGAGCAA
This 367-nucleotide ribosomal RNA is filed under the name Timaviella obliquedivisa GSE-PSE-MK23-08B. Its description in RNAcentral is "bacterial SSU rRNA". It matches the Rfam family "Bacterial small subunit ribosomal RNA", at positions 1 to 394 of the family's 1533-position model. Lineage: Bacteria; Bacillati; Cyanobacteriota; Cyanophyceae; Oculatellales; Oculatellaceae. The record is from RNAcentral.